UUUCAUGCGAAUCCAAAUUGAAACGGAGUGAAUUUAUCAGAUUCUAAAUAAAUAUGAUUUUGAAUAUGAAUAUCAAAAAUAAAAAUUCGAUAAAUAUAAAUUUUGACUGUAUCCGACCCGAAUCUAAAUAAGAUCCAAACCCGAUCCAGAUCCGAAUUUAUUUUACAUUAUAUAUAAUAUGUAUAUAAAAAUUUGAUGUUAUAUUCGUAUUUGUAUUUUAAAAUUUAGAUUUCAUGUAAUAUAUUUUGAAAUAUUAAAAAGAGAAAUAAUUAUUUCAGGUUCGAAUUUUCGGGUUUGAGUUUCGAAUUUUUUGUUGUGUUCGGGUUCAGAUUUUUAAAAAUCCGCCCGAAUCCGAACUGUUGAAUACUAUUUUAUAUUAAUAUAAUUUAAGAUGCAGAAAUUUUCUAGACACAAAAUUCUCUUACCAUGUUUUGUAGCCAAAUAAAGUUUAGCAAUCAACAGCUAAACACCAACCAUUCCUAGUGCAAGUGAUAAAUGGCUUAUUAGUUGGUAUCCGAGACCCAAGUUCGAAUCCUCACAUUUCCAACUAAUUUUAUUUUU
RNAcentral lists this long non-coding RNA (561 nucleotides) under Ananas comosus (pineapple). Its description in RNAcentral is "long non-coding RNA (ACOM_LNC008145)". The record is from RNAcentral. Lineage: Eukaryota; Viridiplantae; Streptophyta; Magnoliopsida; Poales; Bromeliaceae.